RNAcentral lists this ribosomal RNA (253 nucleotides) under uncultured prokaryote. RNAcentral's name for it is "partial 16S ribosomal RNA". It matches the Rfam family "Bacterial small subunit ribosomal RNA", at positions 524 to 776 of the family's 1533-position model. The record is from RNAcentral.
GACAGAGGGGGCAAGCGUUGCUCGGAAUCACUGGGCGUAAAGGGCGCGUAGGCGGGAUGGCAAGUCGGUCGUGAAAUCCUUCGGCUCAACCGAAGAACGUCGGCCGAUACUGCCGUUCUUGAGGGAUGCAGAGGAGAUUGGAAUUCCCGGUGUAGCGGUGAAAUGUGUAGAGAUCGGGAGGAACACCGGUGGCGAAGGCGGGUCUCUGGACCGGUAUUGACGCUGAUGUGCGAAAGCGUGGGGAGCAAACAGG